Long non-coding RNA from Brassica napus (rape), 1819 nucleotides. RefSeq lists it as uncharacterized. The transcript is spliced from 5 exons. Lineage: Eukaryota; Viridiplantae; Streptophyta; Magnoliopsida; Brassicales; Brassicaceae. The record is from RefSeq and is a predicted model, not a curated record.
ACCACGUCAGCAAGGAACGUGGAGGGUUUUUGGACACGUGGAAACUUAAAAAUAACUCUUUUCUUUACGUUCGUUUGUGGCUUUGUACAAACCCGACCUUUCAUAUUUUCUCUCUCUAGCCGACUGCAAAAUUAGAUCGUCACCAGUUACAAAUCAAAGACAACGCCCACUUCUUCCACUAUCUUAUCAUUUACUCUCCUCUUCAAAUUAGUAAUCGAUCAAUAUUCUCAUUUCUAUAUAUCUUCUGCCUCUUCAAAAUUUCUAUAAGAGUAGUUGAGGGAUUCGAUUGUUGAGAUCCUGAAGAAUCCUGAAGAACCUAAAAGGAUUUUUUUGACUACGACGGCACUAAUCCAAAGGCAGAUGAUUGUUAGGAGAUGGAAGAAACAUGGGGAAAAAGAUCCAAUUUUUAUUUUUGCUGUUACUAAACGCCAAGUUAUUUGGUGGUAGAGGAGGACAUCUACUCUGCUUUGCUGUUUAGAAUCAAUUUGAAUCUGAAUCUCCUCACGUCUGCUAGCAGGUUUUUUUUGGCCUCUUCAAUUCUAUUCUAAUCUUCAGUUUGGUCAAUGCUUCGAUAGAUUUACCAGUUAAGAAACCCUCCAAUGAAGUUGUAUGGACAGUUUUCUUUUUUAUUACAUAACCGAAGUUGCAAGCUUCUGUUUCUGUUUGUAUAUCUUGCAAUUACCAUCAUUUUAUUCAUGUAGGCCCUCUUAGGCUAUACACUUAGAUGAUUUCUUCUCCAAUUGAUUCCGAAGGCUUUAGGAUUGAGAGCCUGAAGUUGUGAUUGCACCAAAUUUGCAGCUUUAGAUGUUGUUAUCUCCGUUCUUUAAAUAUGGUAGGCAAUGUCAUCGGAGAUUUCAUUUCAUCAAUAUUUUUGGGAGUGUUGCUGUUACUUUUAGCACAAACUUCUCAAACUGAGACAUAAUAAGGUCUGCAUUUGACUCAUGCAGUACCGUUUGGUUACAUUUGUCCUUAUGAGCCUUACUUUGUUGAUUUUGUGAAUUAUCAAGGAGAGAGGUUAGCUUUCAGGAUAAUGGUUGAGGAGAGACACCAUUGAUGUGGCUUAUAAAGUUUCAGACAUGGAGACUUAAUAGCAUCUGUUGUGGUCGGCUCUGAAAUCUGGUCGUGCUUCUCAGUCGGUGGUGAUGCAAACGUCAAUAAAGGAGGAGAGCUCAUGGGGCUCCUACUUGAUGAAAAGUCGACACUUCUCCAAGGUAACAUCACUGUCCAUCGUCUUAACACAUUUAAACAUUUUCUAGGAGAAUCAACAACCACUUUAAGCUAUUAUAAGCAAAUGAGUAAAUUCAUAGCCUACGCAAAGUACUGGAAAGAUCAUUGUGAAGUUCAAAAAAAAAAGAAGAUCAUUGUGCAAGCCAAAAGGGGAGAAGAAAAAUUAUUUUCUUUAAGUUGAAACGUCAAAGUCGACUCUAAACUUAUUCUGUUUGCUAACUCUUUCAAACAAAAGUGAUCUGAGUUUUUCUUUGGCAUUACAGUUGCUGCUUCUCUAGAAUCUGGAUGUAGCUUCCUGCAGUGAAAACUCAUUAUCUGAGAAUGAAAGAAGUAUGAAAAGAACGAGGACCGCUAAGACGGCUAACAUGAAGAAAUCAAUCAAAAAUACUGAGGUGAAUAAAGAAAACUGAGGAAGCUUAUAUAGCCAAAGUAGAGCAGCUUGCUAAACUCAAAACAAAAGCAGGAUGACGAUAAAGCACAUGUGAAGCUUGCUACACUGCUUCGGCGAAACUUGAGAAGAUAAGGAAGAUGAAAGUACAUCUCUAGAAGGCUUUGAGAAGAUGCAAUUCUAAAGUCCAUUGAUAACUAUACG